This 495-nucleotide ribosomal RNA is filed under the name uncultured bacterium. RNAcentral describes it as "bacterial SSU rRNA". It matches the Rfam family "Bacterial small subunit ribosomal RNA", at positions 30 to 521 of the family's 1533-position model. The record is from RNAcentral.
AUUGAACGCUGGCGGAAUGCUUUACACAUGCAAGUCGAACGGUAGAGGGGGCAACCCCUUGAGAGUGGCGAACGGGUGAGUAAUAUAUCGGAACGUGCCCAGUCGUGGGGAUACCGUAGCGAAAGUUACGCUAAUACCGCAUACGAUCUAAGGAUGAAAGCGGGGGACUCGCAAGAGCCUCGCGCGAUUGGAGCGGCCGAUAUCAGAUUAGGUAGUUGGUGGGGUAAAGGCUCACCAAGCCAACGAUCUGUAGCUGGUCUGAGAGGACGACCAGCCACACUGGAACUGAGACACGGUCCAGACUCCUACGGGAGGCAGCAGUGGGGAAUUUUGGACAAUGGACGCAAGUCUGAUCCAGCCAUUCCGCGUGCAGGAUGAAGGCCCUCGGGUUGUAAACUGCUUUUGUACGGAACGAAAAGGUUUCUAUUAAUACGAGGAGCUCAUGACGGUACCGUAAGAAUAAGCACCGGCUAACUACGUGCCAGCAGCCGCGGU